GAUGAACGCUGGCGGCGUGCCUAAUACAUGCAAGUCGAGCGAACGGACGAGAAGCUUGCUUUUCUGAUGUUAGCGGCGGACGGGUGAGUAACACGUGGAUAACCUACCUAUAAGACUGGGAUAACUUCGGGAAACCGGAGCUAAUACCGGAUAAUAUUUUGAACCACAUGGUUCAAAAGUGAAAGACGGUCUUGCUGUCACUUAUAGAUGGAUCCGCGCUGCAUUAGCUAGUUGGUAAGGUAACGGCUUACCAGGGCAACGAUGCAUAGCCGACCUGAGAGGGUGAUCGGCCACACUGGAACUGAGACACGGUCCAGACUCCUACGGGAGGCAGCAGUAGGGAAUCUUCCGCAAUGGGCGAAAGCCUGGCGGAGCAACGCCGCGUGAGUGAUGAAGGUCUUCGGAUCGUAAAACUCUGUUAUUAGGGAAGAACAUAUGUGUAAGUAACUGUGCACAUCUUGACGGUACCUAAUCAGAAAGCCACGGCUAACUACGUG
Molecule: ribosomal RNA, 497 nt
Filed under: uncultured bacterium
Lineage: Bacteria
Description: partial 16S ribosomal RNA
Rfam family: Bacterial small subunit ribosomal RNA
Source: RNAcentral